GCGGAUGUGGCGGAAUUGGCAGACGCGCAGGCUUCAGGUGCCUGUGGGCUUAGGCUCGUGGAGGUUCGACUCCUCUCAUCCGCA
RNAcentral lists this transfer RNA (84 nucleotides) under Planctomycetota bacterium. RNAcentral's name for it is "tRNA-Leu". It matches the Rfam family "tRNA". Rfam says of the family: Transfer RNA (tRNA) molecules are approximately 80 nucleotides in length. Their secondary structure includes four short double-helical elements and three loops (D, anti-codon, and T loops). The record is from RNAcentral. RNAcentral also lists the same sequence under 2 other names. Lineage: Bacteria; Pseudomonadati; Planctomycetota.